CCUACGGGGGGCAGCAGUCGAGAAUCAUUCACAAUGGGGGAAACCCUGAUGGUGCGACGCCGCGUGGGGGGAUGAAGGUCUUCGGAUUGUAAACCCCUGUCAUGUGGGAGCAAAUUAAAAAGAUAGUACCACAAGAGGAAGAGACGGCUAACUCUGUGCCAGCAGCCGCGGUAAUACAGAGGUCUCAAGCGUUGUUCGGAAUCACUGGGCGUAAGGCGUGCGUAGGCUGUUUCGUAAGUCGUGUGUGAAAGGCGCGGGCUCAACCCGCGGACGGCACAUGAUACUGCGAGACUAGAGUAAUGGAGGGGGAACCGGAAUUCUCGGUGUAGCAGUGAAAUGCGUAGAUAUCGAGAGGAACACUCGUGGCGAAGGCGGGUUCCUGGACAUUAACUGACGCUGAGGCACGAAGGCCAGGGGAGCGAAAGGGAUUAGAUACCCCAGUAGUC
RNAcentral lists this ribosomal RNA (446 nucleotides) under uncultured bacterium. RNAcentral's name for it is "partial 16S ribosomal RNA". It matches the Rfam family "Bacterial small subunit ribosomal RNA", at positions 338 to 795 of the family's 1533-position model. The record is from RNAcentral.